CGAAAGCCUGACGGAGCAAGACCGCGUGAGGGAGGAAGGUCUGUGGAUUGUAAACCCCUUUUCUCAGGGAAGAAGUUCUGACAGUACCUGAGGAAUCAGCAUCGGCUAACUCCGUGCCAGCAGCCGCGGUAAUACGGAGGAGGCAAGCGUUAUCCGGAAUUAUUGGGCGUAAAGCGUCCGCAGGUGGCGAUUCAAGUCUGCUGUCAAAGCACGGGGCUUAACUCCGUUAAGGCAGUGGAAACUGAAUGGCUAGAGUGCCGUAGGGGUAGAGGGAAUUCCCGGCGUAGCGGUGAAAUGCGUAGAGAUCGGGAAGAACAUCGGUGGCGAAAGCGCUCUACUGGACGGCAACUGACACUCAGGGACGAAAGCUAGGGGAGCG
RNAcentral lists this ribosomal RNA (379 nucleotides) under uncultured cyanobacterium. RNAcentral describes it as "bacterial SSU rRNA". It matches the Rfam family "Bacterial small subunit ribosomal RNA", at positions 376 to 770 of the family's 1533-position model. Lineage: Bacteria; Bacillati; Cyanobacteriota. The record is from RNAcentral.